RNAcentral lists this long non-coding RNA (929 nucleotides) under Androctonus crassicauda. The record is from RNAcentral. Lineage: Eukaryota; Metazoa; Arthropoda; Arachnida; Scorpiones; Buthidae.
AGAGCCGGAAUGUUUGGUAAUUUUUUUUUCCUUCCUUCCUAUUAUUGUUGUAAUUAUUAAUCUAACGAGAGCAUCUGAGGAGGAGUACAUCAAAAAAUAGCACAGCUGCGUGGUAGUUAAAGUAGAAACUCUCAGCAUCCAUAAACGAUUGUAUCAAUUAUGCAAAACGAGAAUGGCAUUAAUGAUUAAAUCUCAAAUAGGGUAAUGUUUGAUGCAUAAAUUAUGCACUAUCAAGCGCGAGUCAUGAGAAUUUUACAUUACAUAUCACUUUGGGAAGAUAAUAUUGCAAAAUUGCUAUUGUGCAGAAGCGUGUUUUAGGUCGGAAACGAAAAUUCGCGCAACUUUAAUCGAGCGUAACAGAACGCAUAUUUGGAAUUUUAGGAAAAUGCUGUGAUCAAUUAGAUUAUCGCGUGUUUUAUUAACGCGUAACGAUUAAUAGCGCGCGCUAUAUUCAGGAAGUAGCUGCUUACACAAUUAUUAUGCACCUUUCCAUCAGAAAAUGGAAAUGAAGCGUGAAUAAGUAAUGUCCCUCGUGACACGCGUUCGUUCGAAAGGAACAUUGAUUAACAGCGAAUACGUGCGUGACCGUGACAAAAGACGAAGACGGGGAAAUUGCUUUUAUGCCACAUGGCUGGCAUCUGUAAUUAAUUUUAAACUCAAAAAUUAUAUAGUUCCACCUAAAAAAUGUCCUCAUUGUAUAUUCCUUGUACGUCUUUCCUUUAAUAUUGCUAGAAACUCAUAUCAUUUUUUUUUUUUAAGUUCUACCAGUUUAAUGAAAACGCAAACUUGUUCUAAAAUAUAAAAUUAAUUCGCUAAAGAUUAAAAAAAAAAUACAUGUCGACAGUUUUGGCUCAACGUGUAUCGCGAUGUCAUCAAAAUGUUAUUUUCGGCAGCACUACAACACUCUUGUCAUUUUUCUGAUAAUCUGU